UUUUAAAAGUUUUAUCCCUUUAUACUGUUAAAAACCGACAUAGUUGAUAGAAUAAUUAAACAGUGAUACAUGACAUGUACCUUCUGCUGACAUACAUGAACUAGUUGUUAACAGUAAAAAUAGAUAUUUUUUUUAAUA
This is a non-coding RNA of Gossypium hirsutum (cotton), 138 nucleotides long. The record is from Rfam. Lineage: Eukaryota; Viridiplantae; Streptophyta; Magnoliopsida; Malvales; Malvaceae.